Odocoileus virginianus texanus is the source of this 370-nucleotide non-coding RNA. The record is from RefSeq and is a predicted model, not a curated record. Lineage: Eukaryota; Metazoa; Chordata; Mammalia; Artiodactyla; Cervidae.
UUCAUUUGCUGGCCCCUGGGAAGGCUUCACUGAGAGAUGCAUGCAAAGAGGGAUUUAUGAAGGAUGUAUUGGGCUUCUCACAUCAAGAAGCUGUCCAGGCAACAGGAACAAGUAGAGGGUGUCCACAGAGGCAUGAGAUGGGAAAGUGACUUGGAUGGCUACAGGGAUGCAGCCACUCUAUGCCACCAGUCCCUUAUUCCACAUCUUGGUAACUUCUAUGACAAGCGAUGAAGAGAGAGCCAAGUGAAGAGAGAACAGGCUGCCUGGGCACAGGGAAGAUUCAGAAAGAAACUGGACAAUUAUUAAUACCCAUGGCAAGGGAGGAUCAGGCUCCUUUCAUAGACUAUUUUAUCUAGUCAUGGAAAUGAAA